Dipodomys ordii (Ord's kangaroo rat) is the source of this 70-nucleotide non-coding RNA. The record is from Rfam. Lineage: Eukaryota; Metazoa; Chordata; Mammalia; Rodentia; Heteromyidae.
GGGAAUGUGGCUUAGUGGUAGAGUGCUUGCCUAGCAUGCACGAAGCCCUGGGUUCAAUUCCUCAGCACCA